CGACGCUGGCGGCGUGCCUAAUACAUGCAAGUCGAACGAACUCUGGUAUUGAUUGGUGCUUGCAUCAUGAUUUACAUUUGAGUGAGUGGCGAACUGGUGAGUAACACGUGGGAAACCUGCCCAGAAGCGGGGGAUAACACCUGGAAACAGAUGCUAAUACCGCAUAACAACUUGGACCGCAUGGUCCGAGUUUGAAAGAUGGCUUCGGCUAUCACUUUUGGAUGGUCCCGCGGCGUAUUAGCUAGAUGGUGGGGUAACGGCUCACCAUGGCAAUGAUACGUAGCCGACCUGAGAGGGUAAUCGGCCACAUUGGGACUGAGACACGGCCCAAACUCCUACGGGAGGCAGCAGUAGGGAAUCUUCCACAAUGGACGAAAGUCUGAUGGAGCAACGCCGCGUGAGUGAAGAAGGGUUUCGGCUCGUAAAACUCUGUUGUUAAAGAAGAACAUAUCUGAGAGUAACUGUUCAGGUAUUGACGGUAUUUAACCAGAAAGCCACGGCUAACUACGUGCCAGCAGCCGCGGUAAUACGUAGGUGGCAAGCGUUGUCCGGAUUUAUUGGGCGUAAAGCGAGCGCAGGCGGUUUUUUAAGUCUGAUGUGAAAGCCUUCGGCUCAACCGAAGAAGUGCAUCGGAAACUGGGAAACUUGAGUGCAGAAGAGGACAGUGGAACUCCAUGUGUAGCGGUGAAAUGCGUAGAUAUAUGGAAGAACACCAGUGGCGAAGGCGGCUGUCUGGUCUGUAACUGACGCUGAGGCUCGAAAGUAUGGGUAGCAAACAGGAUUAGAUACCCUGGUAGUCCAUACCGUAAACGAUGAAUGCUAAGUGUUGGAGGGUUUCCGCCCUUCAGUGCUGCAGCUAACGCAUUAAGCAUUCCGCCUGGGGAGUACGGCCGCAAGGCUGAAACUCAAAGGAAUUGACGGGGGCCCGCACAAGCGGUGGAGCAUGUGGUUUAAUUCGAAGCUACGCGAAGAACCUUACCAGGUCUUGACAUACUAUGCAAAUCUAAGAGAUUAGACGUUCCCUUCGGGGACAUGGAUACAGGUGGUGCAUGGUUGUCGUCAGCUCGUGUCGUGAGAUGUUGGGUUAAGUCCCGCAACGAGCGCAACCCUUAUUAUCAGUUGCCAGCAUUAAGUUGGGCACUCUGGUGAGACUGCCGGUGACAAACCGGAGGAAGGUGGGGAUGACGUCAAAUCAUCAUGCCCCUUAUGACCUGGGCUACACACGUGCUACAAUGGAUGGUACAACGAGUUGCGAACUCGCGAGAGUAAGCUAAUCUCUUAAAGCCAUUCUCAGUUCGGAUUGUAGGCUGCAACUCGCCUACAUGAAGUCGGAAUCGCUAGUAAUCGCGGAUCAGCAUGCCGCGGUGAAUACGUUCCCGGGCCUUGUACACACCGCCCGUCACACCAUGAGAGUUUGUAACACCCAAAGUCGGUGGGGUAACCUUUUAGGAACCAGCCGCCUAAGGUGGGACAGAUGAUUA
Molecule: ribosomal RNA, 1481 nt
Filed under: Lactiplantibacillus plantarum
Lineage: Bacteria; Bacillati; Bacillota; Bacilli; Lactobacillales; Lactobacillaceae
Description: bacterial SSU rRNA
Rfam family: Bacterial small subunit ribosomal RNA
Source: RNAcentral